AGAGUUUGAUCAUGGCUCAGAGCGAACGCUGGCGGCAGGCCUAACACAUGCAAGUCGAGCGCCCCGCAAGGGGAGCGGCAGACGGGAGAGUAACACGUGGGAACGUACCCUUCAGUUCGGAACAACCCAGGGAAACUUGGGCUGAUACCGGAUACGUCCGUAAGGAGAAAGAUUUAUCGCUGAAGGAUCGGCCCGCGUCUGAUUAGCUAGUUGGUGAGGUAAUGGCUCACCAAGGCGACGAUCAGUAGCUGGUCUGAGAGGAUGAUCAGCCUCACUGGGACUGAGACACGGCCCAGACUCCUACGGGAGGCAGCAGUGGGGAAUAUUGGACAAUGGGCGCAAGCCUGAUCCAGCCAUGCCGCGUGGAUGAUGACGGCCCUAGGGUUGUAAAGUCCUUUCGGCGGGGAAGAUAAUGACGGUACCCGCAGAAGAAGCCCCGGCUAACUUCGUGCCAGCAGCCGCGGUAAUACGAAGGGGGCUAGCGUUGCUCGGAAUCACUGGGCGUAAAGCGCACGUAGGCGGCUUUUUAAGUCAGGGGUGAAAUCCUGGAGCUCAACUCCAGAACUGCCUUUGAUACUGAGAAGCUUGAGUCCGGGAGAGGUGAGUGGAACUGCGAGUGUAGAGGUGAAAUUCGUAGAUAUUCGCAAGAACACCAGUGGCGAAGGCGGCUCACUGGCCCGGUACUGACGCUGAGGUGCGAAAGCGUGGGGAGCAAACAGGAUUAGAUACCCCCGUAGUCC
This 740-nucleotide ribosomal RNA is filed under the name uncultured bacterium. RNAcentral's name for it is "bacterial SSU rRNA". It matches the Rfam family "Bacterial small subunit ribosomal RNA", at positions 8 to 796 of the family's 1533-position model. The record is from RNAcentral.